This 71-nucleotide transfer RNA is filed under the name Halicampus grayi (Gray's pipefish). RNAcentral's name for it is "tRNA-Trp". It matches the Rfam family "tRNA". From Rfam's summary of the family: Transfer RNA (tRNA) molecules are approximately 80 nucleotides in length. Their secondary structure includes four short double-helical elements and three loops (D, anti-codon, and T loops). The record is from RNAcentral. Lineage: Eukaryota; Metazoa; Chordata; Actinopteri; Syngnathiformes; Syngnathidae.
AGGAGUUUAGGCUAAUAUUAAACCAAAGGCCUUCAAAGCCCUAAACAGAAGUGAAAAUCCUCUAACUCCUG